GCAAACUAUUAUUUUGUGCUCUCUUUUCUCCCCGUCGCUCUGAAGCGGACUGUGCGCCCGGAGUUCGGUGUGCAUAAAACGAUGGAGGGAGUGGAAGGAGGGGAGGGGGGCAGGAGAAACGGUGACGGUUCUUAAGGCCAGCAGGUCCUUUGCGUAGCGGCACCACAUCUUGGCAUACUGCAGGGCCAGCUCCACGCCUCCCUCACAGCGACACAGAGCCAGGUCUGCUUCCUGGGCUGAGAGACCUGAGCCCUAGGACCAUGCCCCAGGACUACCUGACAUGAUGACUCCUUGCUGUCCCCAGUCCACCUGGCCAUGCUGCUGCUCCAGUUUCAACUGUUCUGCCUUAUUAUUAUUCGACCAUGCUGGUCAUUUAUGAACAUUUGAACAUCUUGGCCAUGUUCUGUUAUAAUCUCCACCCGGCACAGCCAGAAGAGGACUGGCCACCCCACAUAGCCUGGUUCCUCUCUAGGUUUCUUCCUAGGUUUUGGCCUUUCUAGGGAGUUUUUCCUAGCCACCGUGCUUCUACACCUGCAUUGCUUGCUGUUUGGGGUUUUAGGCUGGGUUUCUGUACAGCACUUUGAGAUAUCAGCUGAUGUACGAAGGGCUGUAUAAAUAAAUACAUUUGAAUAAAAAUGUAGAAAGUAACCUACCCAACCCUGACUACAACCUAAUGCUGUAGUCUCACUCAGACGUUUGCGGGGUAGCAUCAUGUGCUGAGACUGCAUAUGAGGCUUACAACCUAUAGGGAGGGAGCUGUUACAGUUGAAGCUGACAGUGUUUCACUUUAAUGGCAGUCAAUAUGCAAAAACACUCAACUCCCAGUGUACAUUUUUCAUCUCACCUCCCUCUCUCGCUCUAUUGCUCUGUCUCCAUUUAGGUCAACCACAUCCUGCUUGUGAUGUGUGUCAUGUUUUGCUCAGAAGACACAAAGCUCUUGUUUAUUCACCUUAGCAGAGUUCUGUUCAUACGGCAGUAGAAGACAGGUAAGACAUAGUAGAACUGUACACAAACCAAGUUCAGCUCUAUAGCACAAAUGACAUUGAAAAGCAAUGUUCCCUCCUACGCGGAAACUGCAUUCCCAGUAAACGCUGCAAAUGGCGGCUCAAUCAGACAUUACCUUGAAAUAUUAAGCGAGCUCUGGUGCGGAACUUUGGCAAUAUGGAUUGAAUCGAGCCCGUAGUCUCACAGAAAGCAGGGCCCUAUAGCCUACUGUGCAUGGCAGAGUUAUAGAGAGAGAUCGAGAGUGGGUUCAAAUAGGAUUUGUUUUCCGUCAAACCGUUUUCUCUUAAAUAACGGAGACUGGCGUCCUUGACUUGAUGGUUUCAAGAGCUUAAUUUAAAAAUAUAUAUGUUUCACGAAUGGCACACACCAACACGCAAAAUGGAGGAUGAGUUCAGGAGGUUCACUGAUCCUGCACUGACUGGGAGGAUGUAGCAUGCAACCACACACACAUGCUCACACACACACACACACGUUUGUUGUAUUAUUCUUGUGGGGACCAAAUAAUUGAUUCCCAUUCAAAAUCCUAUUUUCCCUAAACCCUAACCCUAACCCUUAAUCCUAACCCUAAACCCUAAGCCUAAAAUGGCCUUUUUCCUUGUGAGGACUGGCAAAACUUGUCCAAAGUAUCCUUGUGAGAACUUCUGUUCCCCACAAGGAUAGUAAAACAUAUACCCCUGAAACAUUUUCUCACCUCCUUUUCUACCUAAAUGGAUGGUUUCCCAGACCCAGAUGGAGACUAUUCUCCAUUGAGCAUGCUUUGGUCCAGGAGUAGGCUUAAUCUGAGCACUGAAAACGGGCCCAAAUGAUAACAAUCUUCUGUUUU
Molecule: long non-coding RNA, 1828 nt
Organism: Oncorhynchus keta (chum salmon)
Lineage: Eukaryota; Metazoa; Chordata; Actinopteri; Salmoniformes; Salmonidae
Exons: 3
Source: RefSeq, a predicted model, not a curated record